This 847-nucleotide ribosomal RNA is filed under the name Bacillus sp. TSL02. RNAcentral's name for it is "bacterial SSU rRNA". It matches the Rfam family "Bacterial small subunit ribosomal RNA", at positions 102 to 964 of the family's 1533-position model. The record is from RNAcentral. Lineage: Bacteria; Bacillati; Bacillota; Bacilli; Caryophanales; Bacillaceae.
ACGGGUGAGUAACACGUGGGUAACCUGCCUGUAAGACUGGGAUAACUCCGGGAAACCGGGGCUAAUACCGGAUAACUCAUUUCCUCGCAUGAGGAAAUGUUGAAAGGUGGCUUCGGCUAUCACUUACAGAUGGACCCGCGGCGCAUUAGCUAGUUGGUGAGGUAACGGCUCACCAAGGCAACGAUGCGUAGCCGACCUGAGAGGGUGAUCGGCCACACUGGGACUGAAACACGGCCCAGACUCCUACGGGAGGCAGCAGUAGGGAAUCUUCCGCAAUGGACGAAAGUCUGACGGAACAACGCCGCGUGAGUGAUGAAGGUUUUCGGAUCGUAAAGCUCUGUUGUUAGGGAAGAACAAGUGCCGUUCGAAUAGGGCGGCACCUUGACGGUACCUAACCAGAAAGCCACGGCUAACUACGUGCCAGCAGCCGCGGUAAUACGUAGGUGGCAAGCGUUGUCCGGAAUUAUUGGGCGUAAAGCGCGCGCAGGUGGUUCCUUAAGUCUGAUGUGAAAGCCCACGGCUCAACCGUGGAGGGUCAUUGGAAACUGGGGGACUUGAGUGCAGAAGAAGAAAGUGGAAUUCCAAGUGUAGCGGUGAAAUGCGUAGAUAUUUGGAGGAACACCAGUGGCGAAAGCGACUUUCUGGUCUGUACUGACACUGAAGCGCGAAGCGUGGGGAGCAACAGGAUUAAAACCCUGGUAUCCACGCCGUAACGAUGGUGCUAAUGUUAGGGGUUCCGCCCUUAUGCUGCACUACGCAUUAACACUCGCCUGGGAAUACGUCGCAGACUGAACUCAAGGAUUGACGGGGCCGCACAACGGGGACCUGUGGUUAUUCAAACACCCGA